Molecule: non-coding RNA, 29 nt
Filed under: Cricetulus griseus (Chinese hamster)
Lineage: Eukaryota; Metazoa; Chordata; Mammalia; Rodentia; Cricetidae
Source: RNAcentral
GCUGUACUAGCUUUUAUGUGGGUGCUGGG